Molecule: non-coding RNA, 1416 nt
Organism: Camellia sinensis
Lineage: Eukaryota; Viridiplantae; Streptophyta; Magnoliopsida; Ericales; Theaceae
Source: RefSeq, a predicted model, not a curated record
GAAAUUAGGAUUGAAAUAAGUUUUUAUUUUGUUGGUGGAUUUUCUUAUGUACUGUGAUAUAGCUAUGUCUAAUUCCUUUGCGAAAAUAAUGCAAAAGCUUUACUCUGAUUAUUUCAUAAUAUUGAGGGUUGGAAUCUUUUGUUAAAAGUUUAGCUUUGUUAGAGAGUAAUUGCAUUGCACAAGUAUUAAGGUAUUGUGAAUAUUGUAUUUCCUUAUGCCUAGUGUCAAUGUGCAAAAAUAAACAGUGGGAUCCACUUUCCAGCUUAAACUUCAUAUGGUUUUGCUGCCAUUAAUGCCCUCACAUUGUUAACAUGUUUCCUUAAAUAUUGAGGUGUUGACACCGCCAAAAUAUUCCAACAUAUUAAUUAAAAUUAGAGGCUGCUUGCUUAACGUAAUUUGUUGGAAUAAGGUAAGUGAAUGACAUACUUCUGUUGGCAUGCUUGAAUGCAAAUGAGAUGCACUUGAUGCACAAGAAAUAUUUCAAGAGUCUAGAAAACAGUGCACAUAUUGGCAAAUUUGGAAGUUUAUAGCAUUAAUCACUUUGGGAUGUCAUCGAGUCUAGAAAUGUUUGAAUCAUACAAAUGGUUUUUAUCAUUUGUGCUUACUUUGUGUUGGUAAACUUGUCUAGGUUAAAUAUAAGGAUAACUAAAAGCAUAAGCAUAAGGAGCUUUCUUUCCUUUCCUCUUUCCUUUUUUUGUUUUUUUUUUUUAGGUGUGUCUAUGUAUUCUUUUUCUCCUGAACUUUUUCAUGGCAUCCGCUGUGCAGGAUGUCAGUAAAAUCAGAAGAUGGAAUAGAGCUAUGCAUAUUUAGGUUCAAAGACGAUGAUAAAAGCCAAGAGGUUCGUGCUGUGGAGAGGAGGAUAUUUCUAGAGACUCUUGCCAAUCAACUACCACCGGAUGCAAUUAGUUUUUCCUCAAAAUUAGCAAAGAUUGAAAGAAGCGAAUCAGGUGAAACUUCAUUGGAACUCAUGAAUGGGACAAAGCUAUCUGCAAAGAUUGUGAUUGGCUGUGAUGGAAUCCGCUCUCCAAUCGCCAAGUGGAUGUGAUUCUCAGAGCCCAAGUAUGCAGGCCAUUGUGCUUUUCGUGGGCUUGCAUUCUACCCUGAUGGACAACCAUAUGAACCAAAAGUAAACUACAUCUAUGGAAAGGGAGUGCGUGGUGGAUGUGUUCCAGUUUCUCCAACAAAAGUUUAUAGGUUCGUCUGCUUUAAUAUCUUGGCACCAGAUAUUUUCCAUGUAGGAGUUUUUGUGAAGAAUACGAUUAACUUUGUUUUCGUUACCCACAGAGAAUAAUGAGGAAAACUUUUGUUUUUAGUUCAUGUUUUUUUGAAUUGUGAACAACCUUAUGUAUUUAAAUGUUAUAUAUGUAUUAUGCAACAUUAUGUAGUGGGGCAAUUUUGCUGAUGUCUAGUUAUGAA